Molecule: ribosomal RNA, 497 nt
Filed under: uncultured bacterium
Lineage: Bacteria
Description: partial 16S ribosomal RNA
Rfam family: Bacterial small subunit ribosomal RNA
Source: RNAcentral
GAUGAACGCUGGCGGCGUGCCUAAUACAUGCAAGUCGAGCGAACAGACGAGGAGCUUGCUCCUCUGAUGUUAGCGGCGGACGGGUGAGUAACACGUGGAUAACCUACCUAUAAGACUAGGAUAACUUCGGGAAACCGGAGCUAAUACCGGAUAACAUGUUGAACCGCAUGGUUCAACAGUGAAAGACGGUCUUGCUGUCACUUAUAGAUGGAUCCGCGCCGCAUUAGCUAGUUGGUAAGGUAACGGCUUACCAAGGCAACGAUGCGUAGCCGACCUGAGAGGGUGAUCGGCCACACUGGAACUGAGACACGGUCCAGACUCCUACGGGAGGCAGCAGUAGGGAAUCUUCCGCAAUGGGCGAAAGCCUGACGGAGCAACGCCGCGUGAGUGAAGAAGGUCUUCGGAUCGUAAAACUCUGUUAUUAGGGAAGAACAAAUGUGUAAGUAACUAUGCACGUCUUGACGGUACCUAAUCAGAAAGCCACGGCUAACUACGUG